AGCUUUGUACAGGGGCAGUAUUGUAGCCAGUGAGGUUAAUCCGAGGCAUGAUUAUUGCUAAUUGAAAUCAACUCUCAAAAAAU
This 83-nucleotide small nuclear RNA is filed under the name Pogona vitticeps (central bearded dragon). Its description in RNAcentral is "U4 spliceosomal RNA (ENSPVIG00000011127.1)". It matches the Rfam family "U4 spliceosomal RNA", at positions 1 to 83 of the family's 138-position model. Rfam says of the family: U4 small nuclear RNA (U4 snRNA) is a component of the major U2-dependent spliceosome. The structure of U4 snRNA from yeast and human has been reported. The record is from Rfam by way of RNAcentral. Lineage: Eukaryota; Metazoa; Chordata; Lepidosauria; Squamata; Agamidae.